AACAGGAUUAGAUACCCUGGUAGUCCACGCCGUAAACGGUGGGUACUAGGUGUGGGUUUCCUUCCUUGGGAUCCGUGCCGUAGCUAACGCAUUAAGUACCCCGCCUGGGGAGUACGGCCGCAAGGCUAAAACUCAAAGAAAUUGACGGGGGCCCGCACAAGCGGCGGAGCAUGUGGAUUAAUUCGAUGCAACGCGAAGAACCUUACCUGGGUUUGACAUGCACAGGACGACGGCAGAGAUGUCGUUUCCCUUGUGGCCUGUGUGCAGGUGGUGCAUGGCUGUCGUCAGCUCGUGUCGUGAGAUGUUGGGUUAAGUCCCGCAACGAGCGCAACCCUUAUUUCAUGUUGCCAGCGCGUAAUGGCGGGGACUCGUGAGAGACUGCCGGGGUCAACUCGGAGGGAGGUGGGGAUGACGUCAAGUCAUCAUGCCCCUUAUGUCCAGGGCUUCACACAUGCUACAAUGGCCGGUACAAAGGGCUGCGAUGCCGCGAGACUUAGCGAAUCCUUUAAAGCCGGUCUCAGUUCGGAUCGGGGUCUGCAACUCGACCCCGUGAAGUCGGAGUCGCUAGUAAUCGCAGAUCAGCAACGCUGCGGUGAAUACGUUCCCGGGCCUUGUACACACCGCCCGUCACGUCAUGAAAGUCGGUAACACCCGAAGCCAGUGGCCUAACCCUUGUGGGGGGAGCUGUCGAAGGUGGGAUCGGCGAUUGGGACGAAGUCGUAACAAGGUAACC
Molecule: ribosomal RNA, 733 nt
Filed under: uncultured bacterium
Lineage: Bacteria
Description: bacterial SSU rRNA
Rfam family: Bacterial small subunit ribosomal RNA
Source: RNAcentral